CCUUUCUUGUUGCCUUAUAUAGGGGAAAUAACAAGACAAAGUCAUCUUGGACUAUCAUUGAAUAAACCAAGAAAUCAACUGAGACUCUUGUCUAAGAUCAGAUAAAAAUGUUAAAAAAGCAAAUGCUUUACGCAUUUAUUUGAACCUCUUUUCCAUGAAAAUGGAAUAAGAAUGAACUGGAAAAUAUAUGUACGCUUAUCCAAGACAAUUCCAAAGGAUUCAUAAAGAAAAAUGCAAUACACCCCCAGAAAGAAUACCCAAGUGAUUGUCUCCUUCUCCCCCAAUGCUUUCAGGACUCACAAAGUGAUUUCUAAAUCUCCUUCUUUGCCAUUCUCACUGCUAAAGAUGAUGCAUAAUAAAUUCAGCUUCA
RNAcentral lists this long non-coding RNA (370 nucleotides) under Monodelphis domestica (gray short-tailed opossum). RNAcentral describes it as "lncRNA (ENSMODG00000046006.1)". The record is from RNAcentral. Lineage: Eukaryota; Metazoa; Chordata; Mammalia; Didelphimorphia; Didelphidae.